Long non-coding RNA from Haliotis rubra (blacklip abalone), 1146 nucleotides. RefSeq lists it as uncharacterized. The transcript has 2 exons. Lineage: Eukaryota; Metazoa; Mollusca; Gastropoda; Lepetellida; Haliotidae. The record is from RefSeq and is a predicted model, not a curated record.
UAUAUGUGGAUGUAACUCCAUGCUAUAUCAGGAGGUGAUGACUGGUGCACCUUCUGCAGCUAUAUGGCUACCUGGGCACUAUAUGUGGAUGUAACUCCAUGCUAUAUCAGGAGGUGAUGACUGGUGCACCUUCUGCAGCUAUAUGGCUACCUGGGCACUAUAUGUGGAUGUAACUCCAUGCUGUAUCAGGAGGUGAUGACUGGUGCACCUUCUGCAGCUAUAUGGCUACCUGGGCACUAUAUGUGGAUGUAACUCCAUGCUAUAUCAGGAGGUGAUGACUGGUGCACCUUCUGCAGCUAUAUGGCUACCUGGGCACUAUAUGUGGAUGUAACUCCAUGCUGUAUCAGGAGGUGAUGACUGGUGCACCUUCUGCAGCUAUAUGGCUACCUGGGCAAUAUAUGUGGAUGUAACUCCAUGCUAUAUCAGGAGGUGAUGACUGGUGCACCUUCUGCAGCUAUAUGGCUACCUGGGCACUAUAUGUGGAUGUAACUCCAUGCUAUAUCAGGAGGUGAUGACUGGUGCACCUACUGCAGCUAUAUGGCUACCUGGGCACUAUAUGUGGAUGUAACUCCAUGCUAUAUCAGCAGGUGAUGACUGGUGCACCUACUGCAGCUAUAUGGCUACCUGGGCACUAUAUGUGGAUGUAACUCCAUGCUAUAUCAGCAGGUGAUGACUGGUGCACCUUCUGCAGCUAUAUGGCUACCUGGGCACUAUAUGUGGAUGUAACUCCAUGCUAUAUCAGGAGGUGAUGACUGAUGCACCUUCUGCAGCUAUAUGGCUACCUGGGCACUAUAUGUGGAUGUAACUCCAUGCUAUAUCAGGAGGUGAUGACUGGUGCACCUUCUGCAGCUAUAUGGCUACCUGGGCACUAUAUGUGGAUGUAACUCCAUGCUAUAUCAGGAGGUGAUGACUGGUGCACCUACUGCAGCUAUAUGGCUACCUGGGCACUAUAUGUGGAUGUAACUCCAUGCUAUAUCAGGAGGUGGGGACUAAUAUAACAGGAGUCGUGAUAUCACUAUACAAGGCACUGUCUGACGAUGUCCUACAGUCUGACCAGUAUUUACCCAUUUAGACUAGGUCAGAUAAUAGACUGUACCGUUCCAACAGACUUCCUGUUCAUAGAAUAAAGAUGGUUCACCGAAGUAG